AUCCAGCCUGACGAGUCCCAAAUAGGACGAAAUGCGCAUCCUGGAU
Trichobilharzia regenti is the source of this 46-nucleotide non-coding RNA. Lineage: Eukaryota; Metazoa; Platyhelminthes; Trematoda; Strigeidida; Schistosomatidae. The record is from Rfam.